Phragmites australis (common reed) is the source of this 1489-nucleotide RNA transcript. RefSeq lists it as uncharacterized. The record is from RefSeq and is a predicted model, not a curated record. The transcript has 5 exons. Lineage: Eukaryota; Viridiplantae; Streptophyta; Magnoliopsida; Poales; Poaceae.
GGCCCACCUUAAACCACUCCACUAGUCCACUUCCUCGUCUCGUCGCACACCGAUGGAAAAUUGCCGCCGCGGAGGCGAGAUCGCCGGAGGAGACCCAGCGACACGUCGCCGCCGCCGUCCCAUGCAAGGACGCCGCCUUCCGCCUCCUCCUCCUCACCCUUGCGCCUCACCCUCCUCGCCCCUCUCCUCGUUCUAGUCCUCCUCCUCUCCGCCCUUCGCUUCUCCGGUCGCCUCUCCUGGUCCCCUCCCCUCCCUCGGACGCAGCACACGACUCCCCUCUCUGUCUAUGAGCGCGGCCUCGUCAAGCGCGACAUUUCCUCCCGCGAGAUCCUCGCUGAACUCCAAAGGUUAUGACAUGGCAAAGUUGUUCAGCGGAAAUCUUACUCACAUAUCACCUGUGUGGUACGAUUUGAAGAGUGAUGGGAACAGGCUAAUUCUGGAAGGAGAGCACAAUUUUGAUGCGGCAUGGGUCUCUGAACUUCAAAGCAACGGGUCUCUGGCACUUCAACUUGUUAAGCAGCUGGGGGAGGCUUUGCAUUCAAUCAGUUCAGAACCAAGUAACCGCCAUUUGGAACUAAUUUAUGUUAUCCCAGCCCCGAGAAUGCAAGAGCUCAAUAAUCAAGACUUCAGAUCAGAAGAACUGCAGUUGGCUGACUCAUUAGAUGGUUUCUCCCUUAUGACAUACGAUUUCUCAGGGCCUCAAAGUCCUGGUCCCAGUGCACCUCUGAAAUGGGUACAGCAUUCUUUAACAACACUUCUUGCAGCCAAGGGGUCUUCUUGAAGCCAUUCUUGGAUGAUAUUCCUUGGCAUCAAUUUUUACGGGAAUGAUUUUCUACUUUCUAGAGUUCAACAUGAUCAUGUUGAUGUACCAUCGGAAGCAUGUGGCACAUUUCCUAAGUGCAAUAUAACCUUCGGGUUUAUCUUUGACCUGCACUUGAGAAGAUCUGUUUUUUUUUCCUGGACAAUUGCAUUCAUCUUGAAGCAGAUUUAUAUGUCACCGAAUUCAACCGGGAUGAAAUUUUGAGAAGAAAUCGGCAUAGAAGCGACUUUGAUCUUCGACGACCGAGGCUAUUGGACUUUACUUGUCAUUUUUAAUGGUUAGGUGCUAACCCGCAUUCUGGCUAAUUUCCUUGUGGAGAAGUUGGCCUCUUCCGUUUCCCAUUAUGGGUCUACUGCAUAAUGUACAUAAUAUAUGUAUAUAUUAAUGUACGUCAGAAAUAUCUUAACAUAUGGAUAAUUUCUUGUCAAGAUGAAUAUUCUCUAAUGCCGGAGGAUAUCCCUUUCAUCUAUUUACUAUAUAACAUCAUUUCCCUAAUUCUUCUAGUUUCUUUAAUAGGUGCAAUUACUAUGGCUCGACAAUAAGAAAUACUUAGAAUGAGUCAAAAUUCUUAGAAUUUCAAAUCUAAAAUAAAUAACUAAAGAAUCACAAUUUUGAUUUAAAUUCAAACAUCCUUUUCGUAAAUCCAAACAACCUUUUUGUAGGCGUUCU